RNAcentral lists this ribosomal RNA (541 nucleotides) under Pediococcus acidilactici. RNAcentral describes it as "bacterial SSU rRNA". It matches the Rfam family "Bacterial small subunit ribosomal RNA", at positions 65 to 575 of the family's 1533-position model. The record is from RNAcentral. Lineage: Bacteria; Bacillati; Bacillota; Bacilli; Lactobacillales; Lactobacillaceae.
AAUUGAUCAGGACGUGCUUGCACUGAAUGAGAUUUUAACACGAAGUGAGUGGCGGACGGGUGAGUAACACGUGGGUAACCUGCCCAGAAGCAGGGGAUAACACCUGGAAACAGAUGCUAAUACCGUAUAACAGAGAAAACCGCCUGGUUUUCUUUUAAAAGAUGGCUCUGCUAUCACUUCUGGAUGGACCCGCGGCGCAUUAGCUAGUUGGUGAGGUAACGGCUCACCAAGGCGAUGAUGCGUAGCCGACCUGAGAGGGUAAUCGGCCACAUUGGGACUGAGACACGGCCCAGACUCCUACGGGAGGCAGCAGUAGGGAAUCUUCCACAAUGGACGCAAGUCUGAUGGAGCAACGCCGCGUGAGUGAAGAAGGGUUUCGGCUCGUAAAGCUCUGUUGUUAAAGAAGAACGUGGGUGAGAGUAACUAUUCACCCAGUGACGGUAUUUAACCAGAAAGCCACGGCUAACUACGUGCCAGCAGCCGCGGUAAUACGUAGGUGGCAAGCGUUAUCCGGAUUUAUUGGGCGUAAAGCGAGCGCAGG